RNAcentral lists this ribosomal RNA (468 nucleotides) under uncultured bacterium. RNAcentral's name for it is "partial 16S ribosomal RNA". It matches the Rfam family "Bacterial small subunit ribosomal RNA", at positions 28 to 512 of the family's 1533-position model. The record is from RNAcentral.
GACGAACGCUGGCGGCGUGCUUAACACAUGCAAGUCGAACGGAAAGGCCCUGCUUUUGUGGGGUGCUCGAGUGGCGAACGGGUGAGUAACACGUGAGUAACCUGCCCUUGACUUUGGGAUAACUUCAGGAAACUGGGGCUAAUACCGGAUAGGAGCUCCUGCUGCAUGGUGGGGGUUGGAAAGUUUCGGCGGUUGGGGAUGGACUCGCGGCUUAUCAGCUUGUUGGUGGGGUAGUGGCUUACCAAGGCUUUGACGGGUAGCCGGCCUGAGAGGGUGACCGGAGAGAUGGGGGUGAUGAUGAGAGACGGGUGCGUGCGGGGGGCAGGAGGGGGGGAGGGCGGACACGGGGCGUCGGCCUUCUGCAGCAACGCCGCGGGUGAGAGGGGGGGCUUGAGUUUGGAGACCACGUACGCCUAGGAAAAAGAGUGAGUAGCGUCGAGGGGUAGAGAAAAACGACCUCGCUACAAC